CUGGCGGCGUGCCUAAUACAUGCAAGUCGAACGGCUUUUCUAUGGAAGCUUGCUUCCACUGAGAAGAUAGUGGCGAACGGGUGAGUAACACGUGGGUAACCUACCCAUAAGAGGGGGAUAACAUCCGGAAACGGGUGCUAAUACCGCAUAGUUUUCUUGAUCGCAUGAUCGGGAAAGGAAAGACGGCCUUUGUGCUGUCGCUUAUGGAUGGACCCGCGGCGUAUUAGUUAGUUGGUGAGGUAACGGCUCACCAAGACGAUGAUACGUAGCCGACCUGAGAGGGUGAUCGGCCACAUUGGGACUGAGACACGGCCCAAACUCCUACGGGAGGCAGCAGUAGGGAAUCUUCCGCAAUGGACGAAAGUCUGACGGAGCAACGCCGCGUGAGUGAAGAAAGGUUUUCGGAUCGUAAAACUCUGUUGUCAGAGAAGAACAAGUUGGAGAGUAACUGCUCCAGCCUUGACGGUAUCUGACCAGAAAGCCACGGCUAACUACGUGCCAGCCGCAGC
This 509-nucleotide ribosomal RNA is filed under the name uncultured bacterium. RNAcentral's name for it is "bacterial SSU rRNA". It matches the Rfam family "Bacterial small subunit ribosomal RNA", at positions 36 to 518 of the family's 1533-position model. The record is from RNAcentral.